GUGGGGAAUAUUGGACAAUGGGGGGAACCCUGAUCCAGCCAUGCCGCGUGUGUGAAGAAGGCCUUUUGGUUGUAAAGCACUUUAAGCGAGGAGGAGGCUACCGAGAUUAAUACUCUUGGAUAGUGGACGUUACUCGCAGAAUAAGCACCGGCUAACUCUGUGCCAGCAGCCGCGGUAAUACAGAGGGUGCAAGCGUUAAUCGGAUUUACUGGGCGUAAAGCGCGCGUAGGUGGCCAAUUAAGUCAAAUGUGAAAUCCCCGAGCUUAACUUGGGAAUUGCAUUCGCUACUGGUUGGCUAGAGUAUGGGAGAGGAUGGUAGAAUUCCAGGUGUAGCGGUGAAAUGCGUAGAGAUCUGGAGGAAUACCGAUGGCGAAGGCAGCCAUCUGGCCUAAUACUGACACUGAGGUGCGAAAGCAUGGGGAGCAAACAGGAUUAGAUACCCUAGUAGUCC
Molecule: ribosomal RNA, 451 nt
Filed under: uncultured bacterium
Lineage: Bacteria
Description: partial 16S ribosomal RNA
Rfam family: Bacterial small subunit ribosomal RNA
Source: RNAcentral